UCGUAUAAGACGUUGAGUUGUAAGCUAGCGCGAGGACACGCACAUUGAAAGGAGGGAGUUGUGUAACGACCCUGGGUUUAUAAACGCGGAUAUCGACUUUGCCAUGCUAGCAUGCUUUUGUGGCACAGUCAAUGGCGCGCUGGACUUCGGGCUAGAAGGUUGAGGGUUCAAGACCUGCAUUCUGCCUGUUUCAUUACAAUACCAUAAGUAAUUCAUAACUUCAUUAGCUAGCUAACGUUGGCUAGCAAGACGUAUUAGCUGACUCAACUAGCGCGAAUGUCUUGUUAAGGUUGCUUUGGCUUUUCAUAUCAAGCUCAGCUGAUCAUGAAAUUAUUUUCAUAUAGUGUCAAUUUCAUAACGUCGUUAUGAAACUGAGCUGAUAUAUGGUUAGCUAGAUAGCUAGCAAAUACUAUGUAGCUAAUAAGGUCGAAAGCUGCGAUAGCUAGUUAACGUUAGCUAUUUUUAUUUGCUCCAGUCUGGCACGACCAAGUCGUGACUGCUUUCACCAGUAAGAAGUCGAGCUGGGUUUGCUUGAAUUACUCGCGUCGGUAACUCACCCAAUGAAUGACCCAGAUAUGUCUGACACAUAGCCUACAGUAGUUAAACUAUAGAAACAGCUCUGCAUAUUUGUGAAAACGUUGCCAGAUAUGGUGAGGCAGAGCACGAUGGUAGAGCUGCAAGCCUUCCAGCACGCUCCAGUUACAGAGUAACACUCUGGCCUCUGAUGCAGUAGGGGACAGCUGUGGGGGACAGCAGAAUGGGGAGAUCACUGCCACAAAGGAGUGACAGCGCCUCUCACAAGGUCCUCCAGAGGUGGAGGCCAGCCAGCCAGGAAGCAGUUCAGACUCAGCCAAACGACAGAAGAAGAAAAGGAGGACGAGCAACAGACAGCUUCACUGGAAACUUCAACGGUGUGCCAGGAGAUGAGCUCGGGGCUGGGAGCAUACACAGGGACCUGUGAGGACAUCAUACUCGCCUACCUCAGCGAAAGCGUCUUCUUCCGAUGCAUUUUGGCUCUCGGUUAAGCAAGGCAGGCUAUAGGUAGAGAGAAGCGUUCCCCUUGAAAAUGUUAUGUGUAGAUGAUAGUCUAAAGACGGGUAAAGCCUUUUGUUGUUUUGUUUUCCCUGUUUGGCCACGGCCUUUAGGUCAACUGCUUAGUUUAUUUUUAUUCAUUUUUUUUCGCUGUUGUUUCAGCGGUGGACACUACCCUGUACUGGAAUCAUUUUGUCGGGUGAAAGAAAACACGUAUAUUGACAAUACAAAAGCAAAGGAACAACAA
Molecule: long non-coding RNA, 1279 nt
Organism: Coregonus clupeaformis (lake whitefish)
Lineage: Eukaryota; Metazoa; Chordata; Actinopteri; Salmoniformes; Salmonidae
Exons: 5
Source: RefSeq, a predicted model, not a curated record